This is a non-coding RNA of Ceratotherium simum simum (southern white rhinoceros), 206 nucleotides long. Lineage: Eukaryota; Metazoa; Chordata; Mammalia; Perissodactyla; Rhinocerotidae. The record is from RefSeq and is a predicted model, not a curated record.
CACGCAGCAACCACUGGCUGACCAGAAUGAAGAUGACUUUCAAGAAAACCAGAACACAUCAGAAAAGGACAACUCACUGAGGAGUAGAGCUGUGCAGAACAGAGAGCAGGGAAACGCCAAACAGGAUGAAGAGCAGGUCACUCUUGAGCAGGAUUCUCCAAGAAAGAAAGAAGACAAAAAGGACGAUCAAGAGGUGCAUCAAGGGG